Long non-coding RNA from Ailuropoda melanoleuca (giant panda), 537 nucleotides. RefSeq lists it as uncharacterized. Lineage: Eukaryota; Metazoa; Chordata; Mammalia; Carnivora; Ursidae. The transcript has 3 exons. The record is from RefSeq and is a predicted model, not a curated record.
UCAUUCUGCGCAAGUGCACAUCCGGCAAGCUCCUUUCCACCCGCCUUCUCUCGUUGAAAAACGACGGCAAUUCGGCUUCUUUGGGUGUCUGCGGGAGCAGAGGCUUUGCACUGGGGCUGGGAGUACUGGGGACACGGCUCCGGGAAGCCUGGGGUCCUGCCAGUUCCGAUUCUGAGCUGCCCUCAUACCAUGUCCAUAACCGCAUGUGGCAUCUAGAGUUAAAUGACAAAAGGACAGUAAAAGAAAAGUUUUCUAUAUUAGACACUUUUGGAAGCUCUAAAUAUUGGGCCUGAAAUGAUUUUUUGUAAAGACACCCAGGGCAGAAUUAAGAACUUAAGCACAGUGCUGUUUACUUACACAGCUGAACCUUUUCAUUUCUUUACAUUUUUCAAGGAGCAGCAGAAAAUGAACAUAGUGCAGGUAAGUUCUAUUUUUAAUAAUCUCUUUGUUUUAUAGUGGAUUUUAUAAGAGCUUAAGAGUCUAUUAAUAUGAAAAAGUAGAAAUAGAAAUGGAUCAGAUGCAUUCAGAGUUGGGAAU